GACGAACGCUGGCGGCGUGCCUAAUACAUGCAAGUCGAGCGGACGGAUGGGAGCUUGCUCCCAGACCGUCAGCGGCGGACGGGUGAGUAACCCGUGGUCAACCUGCCUGUAAGACUGGGAUAACUCCGGGAAACCGGGGCUAAUACCGGUUAACUCUUUCCCUCACAUGAGGGAAAGCUGAAAUAUGGCAUCUCGCUAUCACUUACAGAUGUGCUCGCGGCGCAUUAGCUAGUUGGUGAGGUAACGGCUCACCAAGGCGACGAUGCGUAGACGACGGGAGAGGGUGGUCGGCGACACUGGGAGUGAGACACGGCCCAGACUACUGCGAGAGGCAGCAGUAGGGAAUCUUAGGCAAUAGAGGAGAGUCUGACGGAGCAAGGCCGCGUGAGUGAUAACGGUGUUCGGAGCGUAAAACUCUGUUGUCAGGGAAGAACAAGUACCGGAGUAAAUGACGGUAGCUUGACGGUACCUGGCAAGAAAGCCACGGCUAACUACGUG
Molecule: ribosomal RNA, 498 nt
Filed under: uncultured bacterium
Lineage: Bacteria
Description: partial 16S ribosomal RNA
Rfam family: Bacterial small subunit ribosomal RNA
Source: RNAcentral